CCCUUAGAUGUUCUGGGCCGCACGCGCGCUACACUGACGAAUGCAACGAGCUUAUAACCUUGGCCGAAAGGUCUGGGUAAUCUCCAAAUUUCGUCGUGAUGGGGAUAGAUUAUUGCAAUUAUUAAUCUUCAACGAGGAAUGCCUAGUAAGCGCAAGUCAUCAGCUUGCGUUGAUUACGUCCCUGCCCUUUGUACGCACCGCCCGUCGCACCUACCGAUUGAAUGACCCGGUGAAAUCUUCGGAUCGUCGUAUUGCCCGAUUCAUUUCGGGCGAUGUGACGCAAAGUUGAUUAAACCUUGCCAUUUAGAGGAAGGUGAAGUCGUAACA
RNAcentral lists this ribosomal RNA (327 nucleotides) under uncultured eukaryote. RNAcentral's name for it is "partial 18S ribosomal RNA". It matches the Rfam family "Eukaryotic small subunit ribosomal RNA", at positions 1470 to 1796 of the family's 1831-position model. The record is from RNAcentral.